This 1992-nucleotide long non-coding RNA is filed under the name Cottoperca gobio. RNAcentral's name for it is "lncRNA (ENSCGOG00000013907.1)". Lineage: Eukaryota; Metazoa; Chordata; Actinopteri; Perciformes; Bovichtidae. The record is from RNAcentral.
AUGAUGAAGAUGAUGAAGAUGAUGAUGAUGACGACGAUGAGGAUGGUGCUUAUCACAAGGGCUCUGUGUGCUCAUAUUGUGAAUUCUGUGAGCACUGCGGCAACUGUGAUAAAUGUCCGUGUGAAGACGGAGACAAAUCUGAACACUGUGAUGACUGCAAGAUGUGCAGUUUCUGCCAUGUGUGUCCUGUUUGCCAAACUCUUUGCCAGCCUGGUGAGUGAAAGCAAAAAAACACUUUGUUAAAGGAUCAAAUUAGAAAAGGAAAGUAUUUUUGUUGCUCAUUUUGACUGCUCCUGUAUAUAACAUGAUGCAUUCAACUUGGGACUUGACACGGCAGCAAACAGUUGUGAUUUUGUUGAGCAGUAGCCGGGCUCCUCCAUAGAGAGGGAGUAGCAAACCGAUUGGCAGUAGCACAGCAUGAGGAUGGGGUGUAAUGAUUUGACCAUGUCCUGGUUGUAAGUUGGGCCAGAGUCAUUCACAGCAAAGUAGGCAAGUACCAGUGACUUAAAUCAGAUUCAAGCAGCUACUGAGACCUGUGAAGGGGGCCAACAGUUAAUCUGGUUAUGUAUUAUACCAUAUGUAGACUAAUCACAAUAUAACUUUGUUUUUAAAUCCCGAAUAUAGGAAAUAGGACUUGAUCAGUUCAAUCAACGGCUAUACUAAGACAGUAGAGUAACAAAAAUUUAAGACAACAAUUCUGCCUCUGAUGAAAAAUGUUGGGUUUUGCUGUUUGAUGACAGAGGCUCCAGCUCACACUUACUCUAUCUUUGUUCUUAAGGAGGUUUUCUUGAUGAAGUGACUGGAUCCAUCUACAAGUAAGUCAUAUUUACACUGAACUGAAACCGGUUCAAGGAUUUAUGAACUACAGUCUGUAACCUCUGUUUGUCUCUCCAUCCACAGGACUGUAGCUGAUGUCUUUGAUGAUGAAGAUGAUGACAACUAAAUCCAACCAUAUGUUGCCACCAUGUGGCCAAACCAAUAUGUUUUACCUUCGCUUCUGAUUUUCAUUGUUAUCUUUGUCAUUUUCCUUGAGAACAUUAAAUCAAUAACUAAGUUAAUAAUAACUAAAUAUAUUUGUGUACUGUUAUUAACUGACAAGUCUAACUUGUACUUUUAAGGAAGAUUAAAUAUUUGGAGUCAUAUUUGGGAUAUGUUAAAUAAAAAAGAGGGGACAAUUUCAUUAAUUGAUUUAUUGAUUUUUAAAUGGUCACUACUUUGAAUGUAUGAAAUGCUUCAAUGAAAGAAAAUGAAAGAAUAAUUUCCUGGAUUCUACAUUAAGAUUCUACAUUAAGAUUCUACAUUAAGAUUCUACAUUAAGAUUCUACAUUAAGCCAAUAUGCUUCUGAAGUCAGAAAACCAUUUUGAGCGGCACAGUAAAAAAUAGACUUACUCUUGGACAUGAGUAAGACAUUUGUCAUGAAUUUGAUGACUUUACCUGGACAUUAGCCUUUAGACUUGGAAUGAUUUAAUUUCAUCCCCUUCCCCUGCUGGAAUAAACAGCGUAGCAAAAUUUUAAUUUAAAAUUAAACCAUGCCGUUCAAUGCUGGUUAGUGCUGGGUACCCAGGAGAGCUGUGCUGGUAGAUAUGGUUAAGGAUACUGAGCUACGAGCAUGGUCUUGCUGGCGGAGCACAUACAUUUGUUAUUUAUGUGCAUUGUGUGUCAAGGAUGUUUAAUAGAAGAACCAGAUGGCUGUAAUUUUUUUAAAAUCUCAAUCUCAAUAUCAAUCAAAAACAAGAAUACAUUCAUUAGUCAUUUAUUUACAAAUAUUUAAUUGGAACUGUACAUUUUUUAAAAGGUAAUUUCAAAAACUGCAUUAAUGUGUAAUACAAUAUAGCACAAAUUCAAACAGUCAAAGUUUUGUAAUGAAUGAACAUGACUAUUUGUCUAUUUCAUCAAACUGAACAUGACAUAAAAAAACUGAGCAUAUAUAACACUUCCACAUUCUAAUGGAAAAAGACUUGUCAGUGUUAAAAUAUGACGUUAUAUCAAGA